This is an RNA transcript of Prunus avium (sweet cherry), 2258 nucleotides long. It is a transcript of the gene named Ppx-GppA phosphatase, with no coding region annotated. The record is from RefSeq and is a predicted model, not a curated record. Lineage: Eukaryota; Viridiplantae; Streptophyta; Magnoliopsida; Rosales; Rosaceae.
UAAUUUUUAGAGCUUAAAAAAUAAGAAUUUACAUCAGUAAAAAAAGAAAGAAAGAGGCUUUUCUGAAUUCUCAUCUUGUAAACGCAGAGCAGAGAGUCAUACCUGGAAAUCGAUCCAGCAAAUUUUGCCUCCAAAUCAAAAUCACCAAAAUCCCAGAUAUCAAUUUCCAAAAGAAAUGGCCUCUGCUACCACAGACCCACCAACCCUUUCAACACUCUUUGCAGCCAUUGACAUGGGCACAAAUUCGUUCAAGAUGCUCAUAGUUCGUGCAUACCCAAAUGGCAAAUUCUUCACCAUAGACCAAUUCAAAGAGCCUGUGGUUCUUGGCCGUGAUACCAGCACAUCAUCAACAACAACCCCUUUUACACUUUCACAUCACUCCCAGCUCCUUGCCCUUGAAGCCCUUAAAAGAUUUCAGAACAUCUUGAAAUCCUACAAAAUCAACAAAACCCAUGUCCGCUGUGUUGCCACUGCAGCUGUACGUGAAGCUGUGAACAAAGUUGGGUUUUUGAAAUGUGUAAGGGAAGAGGUUGGUUUAGAGAUAGAUGUGUUGCCUGGUGAACAGGAAGCUAGGCUUGAGUAUCUGGGUAUGCUUCAGUUUUUUCCAAUAUAUGAGAAAUUGGUGCUGGGUGUGGAUAUUGGAGGUGGGUCUACUGAGUUUGUAAUUGGGAAGCAAGGAAAAGUCAUUUUUGGUGCUUCAUUGAAGCUGGGACAUGUGAAUUUGACCCAAAAGUUUGGGAACAAUGAAGAAAAUGUUGCGCAUAUGAGGGAGCACAUUAGAUUGGUUGUUCAAGAAUCUGGGUUGGUUGACAAGAUUAAAGAUUGUGGCUUUGAGGCUGUUGUUGGAUCUUCGGGUACUAUAAAGGCAAUUGAAAAAGCAUCCCUUUAUGGGUAUGCCAAUGUGAGCAAUAUGCUCCAGGUCGGGAUUAUGGUUUCUUUUGGGGACAGUAAGAGGGAUUGGAAGUUAAGUAGAGGAGAACUGAAGGGUGUUGUUGAGAGUUUAUGUGGUGGAGGAGAGGCAGAGAAGAAUAGGAGGGAGAAGUUCUUUAAAAUGCGGUCCGAGUUUAUCGUUGCCGGGGCUGUGCUAUUGGAGGAGAUAUUUGAGGUACUUGGCAUUGAGGAAAUGGAGGUUUCUGGGUAUGCAUUGGCAGAAGGUGUUAUUGCAGAAACUUUAGCUAAGGUUAAUGAUUAUGAUUUGAAUGCCAAUGCAAAGUGGUCGUCUAUUGUGCGGCUCGCAAUGAGAUUUAAUAGCAACAAGAGGAUGAGAGCGGCUUCUCAGUGUGCUAGCAUUGCAAAGGAAAUUUUUGAAUGUUUAAGAAAAUGUGAUGAACUUGCUGGCAAUCAAGUUGCUGUCUCCCUAGAUGACAAGGAUCUUGAGUAUCUUGAAGCAUCAUGUUUGCUUCACAAUAUUGGGCUUUCCAUCGAGAAAAAGGGUUACCAUAAGCAUUCUUAUUCUAUUAUCAUGAAUGGUGGCCAUCUUCAAGGUUACAGUACUGAGGAGGUCAAGCUGAUAGCACUACUUGCAAGACACCACAGGAAGAAAUUACCAAACUUUGGUCAUGUUUCCUUUAAGGAGUUUCCAAUAGAGGUAAAAAAGAAAUUCAGAUUUCUAUGUGCAAUUAUCCGUAUUUCAGUUGCACUGCAACAACAUCGACGCAUUGAUUUCCAACAAAUAGAAUUUUCACACUCUUACGAAGGUUUUAAACUGGCAUGCGGUGGUGUAAAAGUUCAAAAUUCCCCACCUUGCAUUCUAGAGCCUUUAGCUGAGGAUAUUGGAGAUGACCUAAGGCAAGAGUUAGAACACUUUAAGAUGGUAUUCCAUGAAGAACUACUCCUCCUUGUUCCUUCAAGUGUUUCAGGAUGAUCUGAGAGAUAAGGAUAUUUUCACACAAGGUGUCACUUGAUAUGUCUUGAAAAAGUUCAUAUAACCCAUAAAUUCAGCAUAUACAAGGCUUUGGCAUGGAAGGACAGUCAUGUUGCCCAAGUUGCAGGAUAGCUCGUGUGAACCAUUGAUGUGGAGCUCAUGGGUUGAAUUGUGGUGUUGAUACAGACUCAUUUGUCCCAGACGAUGUGGUUCAACUGAAACAGAGCACAAGCUGGAGAAUUGGAGGUAUUGUCCAUUAAAUUGUAAUAGUUUUAAUCUCAGAAUUUCAAUGUGUAACAGAAAGAGUUGUAUGUCCUUUUAGUCUAUAACAGAUAAAAUUUACGUACAAGCAAAAGGGAAAGAUAAAUGAAAAUCUUGGAUCUUUUUUUAUUUU